This 26-nucleotide non-coding RNA is filed under the name Mus musculus (house mouse). The record is from RNAcentral. Lineage: Eukaryota; Metazoa; Chordata; Mammalia; Rodentia; Muridae.
UGAUCAGCGUUUUUUCCUUGGUGGUC